AUGAACGCUGGCGGCGUGCCUAAUACAUGCAAGUCGAGCGAGCAGACGAGGAGCUUGCUCCUCUGACGUUAGCGGCGGACGGGUGAGUAACACGUGGAUAACCUACCUAUAAGACUGGGAUAACUUCGGGAAACCGGAGCUAAUACCGGAUAAUAUAUUGAACCGCAUGGUUCAAUAGUGAAAGACGGUUUUGCUGUCACUUAUAGAUGGAUCCGCGCCGCAUUAGCUAGUUGGUAAGGUAACGGCUUACCAAGGCAACGAUGCGUAGCCGACCUGAGAGGGUGAUCGGCCACACUGGAACUGAGACACGGUCCAGACUCCUACGGGAGGCAGCAGUAGGGAAUCUUCCGCAAUGGGCGAAAGCUUGACGGAGCAACGCCGCGUGAGUGAUGAAGGUCUUCGGAUCGUAAAACUCUGUUAUUAGGGAAGAACAAAUGUGUAAGUAACUAUGCACGUCUUGACGGUACCUAAUCAGAAAGCCACGGCUAACUACGUG
This 496-nucleotide ribosomal RNA is filed under the name uncultured bacterium. RNAcentral's name for it is "partial 16S ribosomal RNA". It matches the Rfam family "Bacterial small subunit ribosomal RNA", at positions 29 to 507 of the family's 1533-position model. The record is from RNAcentral.